Molecule: ribosomal RNA, 492 nt
Filed under: uncultured bacterium
Lineage: Bacteria
Description: partial 16S ribosomal RNA
Rfam family: Bacterial small subunit ribosomal RNA
Source: RNAcentral
AGUGAACGCUGGCGGUAGGCCUAACACAUGCAAGUCGAACGGCAGCACAGUAAGAGCUUGCUCUUACGGGUGGCGAGUGGCGGACGGGUGAGGAAUACAUCGGAAUCUACUUUUUCGUGGGGGAUAACGUAGGGAAACUUACGCUAAUACCGCAUACGACCUACGGGUGAAAGCAGGGGAUCUUCGGACCUUGCGCGAUUGAAUGAGCCGAUGUCGGAUUAGCUAGUUGGCGGGGUAAAGGCCCACCAAGGCGACGAUCCGUAGCUGGUCUGAGAGGAUGGUAGGCCACACUGGAGCUGAACCACGGUCCAGACUCCUACGGGAGGCAGCAGGGGGGAAUGUGGGGCAAUGGGCGCAAGCCUGACCCAGCCACACGGCGUGGGUGAAGAAGGCCUGGGGGUCGGAAGGCCCUUUUGUGGGGAAAAAAAAGCUGCAGAUUAAAACCCCGCGGUUUUGACGGUACCGAAUAAAAAAGCACCGGCUAACUACGUG